AGUACGAAGCGGAGGAACAAAGUGCCGAUGCUGGACCAGGCCGUGGCGGGCGGGACUUCAUUGGGGGCGGAACCCUGGGGAUCCCUUGGAGAAAUGAGGAAACUGAGAGGUAUCCUGGCACCACAGCUCCGUUUAACACUGUACUGCACCCUGGGAGACGUGUGGAUGUUAGCAGAGGACAUGAGGUUUCCAAAAUCUAAGACUCAGGCUGCACCCUUCCACUGAGCGGCCCUAGGAUGCCGACCAGAGUCAGACUUCCAGAAUGUUCUUGAAUACAAAGAAGGCUCAUGGAAUUUAGAGUAAAGGAAUGUUUUUUGUUGUUUUUUUGGGUACUGGGGAUCAAACUCAGGACCUUGCACUUGCCAGGCAGGUG
Molecule: non-coding RNA, 373 nt
Organism: Heterocephalus glaber (naked mole-rat)
Lineage: Eukaryota; Metazoa; Chordata; Mammalia; Rodentia; Bathyergidae
Source: RefSeq, a predicted model, not a curated record